GACGAACGCUGGCGGCGUGCCUAAUACAUGCAAGUCGAACGCACAGUUUAUACCGUAGCUUGCUACACCAUAAACUGUGAGUUGCGAACGGGUGAGUAACGCGUAGGUAACCUGCCUGGUAGCGGGGGAUAACUAUUGGAAACGAUAGCUAAUACCGCAUAAUAUUGAUUAUUGCAUGAUAAUUAAUUGAAAGGUGCAAUUGCAUCACUACCAGAUGGACCUGCGUUGUAUUAGCUAGUAGGUGAGGUAACGGCUCACCUAGGCGACGAUACAUAGCCGACCUGAGAGGGUGAUCGGCCACACUGGGACUGAGACACGGCCCAGACUCCUACGGGAGGCAGCAGUAGGGAAUCUUCGGCAAUGGACGAAAGUCUGACCGAGCAACGCCGCGUGAGUGAAGAAGGUUUUCGGAUCGUAAAGCUCUGUUGUAAGAGAAGAACGGGUGUGAGAGUGGAAAGUUCACACUGUGACGGUAUCUUACCAGAAAGGGACGGCUAACUACGUG
RNAcentral lists this ribosomal RNA (505 nucleotides) under uncultured bacterium. RNAcentral describes it as "partial 16S ribosomal RNA". It matches the Rfam family "Bacterial small subunit ribosomal RNA", at positions 28 to 507 of the family's 1533-position model. The record is from RNAcentral.